RNAcentral lists this ribosomal RNA (506 nucleotides) under uncultured bacterium. Its description in RNAcentral is "partial 16S ribosomal RNA". It matches the Rfam family "Bacterial small subunit ribosomal RNA", at positions 29 to 523 of the family's 1533-position model. The record is from RNAcentral.
AGUGAACGCUGGCGGUAGGCCUAACACAUGCAAGUCGAACGGCAGCACAGGAGAGCUUGCUCUCUGGGUGGCGAGUGGCGGACGGGUGAGGAAUACAUCGGAAUCUACUUUUUCGUGGGGGAUAACGUAGGGAAACUUACGCUAAUACCGCAUACGACCUACGGGUGAAAGCAGGGGAUCUUCGGACCUUGCGCGAUUGAAUGAGCCGAUGUCGGAUUAGCUAGUUGGCGGGGUAAAGGCCCACCAAGGCGACGAUCCGUAGCUGGUCUGAGAGGAUGAUCAGCCUCACUGGAACUGAGACACGGUCCAGACUCCUACGGGAGGCAGCAGUGGGGAAUAUUGGACAAUGGGCGCAAGCCUGAUCCAGCCAUACCGCGUGGGUGAAGAAGGCCUUCGGGUUGUAAAGCCCUUUUGUUGGGAAAGAAAUCCAUCUGGUUAAUACCCGGGUGGGAUGACGGUACCCAAAGAAUAAGCACCGGCUAACUUCGUGCCAGCAGCCGCAGUAA